GGGCCGGCCUGGAGGCCUGGCGCAACCCUUCGGGGCCUCCAAGGACCCAGUUGGGGGGGCAGGAAGGGGCUGGAGGAUGGUUGGUGGUGGGCUUUCUGCUUUGCCUUUUCCUCCUUAUGCCGCCUUAGAGAGGGUCCGGAGCUCUGGCAGCAGCUCCGGGGUGGGGAUCUGAGCUCCCGGAGUCGGAAGAGCUGGGUUUGUUUCCGGGCCUAGCCACCAGCUGGCCGACUGACCUUAGGCAAGUCACUCUAAUUUGUCUGCGCCUCAGUUUCCUCCUCUGCCUGUGUUUGGGAUUGAAAUCGCUUUGUAAACUGCAAAGUGCUGUAUUCAUAAAGGAUGAGUAUCGUUUGUAAUGGUUAUUGAGUUGCUAGAAAACAUCAGUUGCCAGAUCUCUCAGAUUUGGAACCUAGGAACCUUGGAUUGGAGUUGGAGAUCCGCAAAGUCCCUGAAUUGUACGUAGAAAUUUGUGGGGAUAUGCAUAUUAAGCGACUGGUGUGCCAUUGCUAGCAAGUUUCUAAAGGGGACUGUGACCCAGAAGAGUUGAUGACAGUUUUUUUAUACCACAGAGAGGAAACUGAGGCCUAGAUGUCAUUUGGGACCCUUCACAAUCAAUUUGAAGCCCCCUUUUGAGUCCCUGGGAUAUGUGAGCUGUUUCCUAUGCAUAAUGGAUAUUCGGGAUAACAAUACUCCCCUGCUUGGCCUCUCUUUUGAACCCUUUCUUGUCAUCAUGGGGUGCCUGAAGGGCGGCUGAUGCAUAUGGUACAGUGGCACCCAUAAAGCAGCUACAAUUAGGAGUAGAUGUAGUCAGUAAUACCAAGAAGUGAAUUCAGUGUUUGGCCCAGGAGUUCUUCGUUGUCUGCUGCUUGUACUGGUGCCUGACUACCUUUUUGACUUUUAUCAUUUUCCACGACUAUGGUUGCCAUCCUUUACUUGAUUGUUUUGUAUUCCCUAGUUUGUGUGGUUGGUGGUGAACAGGCUUAUUUUUAAAUGAUGGUGCCAAGCCUAGCUAAUUAAUGGUGCACGUGAAUUUUCAACAAGUGGGCUCAUGGGAAUAGGCUGAACCACACAUGGAAUUCCUAAAGAUGUUUAACGGUUUUUCUUUAUUAAUUCAAGGUUAACAAUCUCCCAGAAAUUUUGUUAGAACACCUACUGAACCUCAAAAUCAGUAGGUUUGGAGAUGAUUCCAACCCUAACUUUUUCCUGGUCUGCCUUGCAUUCUAAUUGCUUUCAACUGUGAUACUGACAAGGCCAAAAUGCCAUUUUUUUGUUUCUUUGUUGUCAGCUGCUUUUAUCAAAUUUCAGACCAUUGUCCAGUAAACACUAUAAAAAUGUUUGAACAAUUGAAUUUCAAACAUUUUCAUUUUGUGGAGUGGUGCUUACCAAGUGGUACAGCUCUAAGCAAGUGAAUACAAACAGUAAGUGUAGUUUGUCUGAGUAGAUGUUAACCAGUUCUAUUUCAUUCAAAUGUUUGGGGAAAUAAUUGCGUAUUCCCUUUACCUAAAGGGCAGAGACAAAUGUUUCACUUCCAGAGAAAUGACUGUUUUGGAGAAAAAUGUGUUCUUUAGCUCUUUUGUAAUUAAAUCUGGAUGUACCUCAAAAGACUCUUAAGACUGUGGUGAUAAGAGGCUUUUCUCCAGAAAAAGGAAAAAAGCAACUGGAACUCAAAGCUUGAAAUUCUGUGACAGAACAUGAGAUGUCCAGGAUUGGAGGUUGAGAAGGUUUUGCUACAAUGUUCUGCGAUCAUCGAAGAAUUUACCUUUCAGUGCAGCCGCAGCCAUGGACUCCAGAUUUCCAAGAACUGGAUCUGCAACCUAGAAGAGCUUGUCAGGAUGUGGCAGAAACUGGAGGUCGCUUUUUUUUUUUUUAAUUACAUUUUGGAACUGUUGAUCUUGUUGUAAGAAAAGAGGCAACAACUGAGCAAGCUUUACCACCAGUGCUGUUACUGGGAAUCGGAAGACCUGAGUUUCUGCCCAGACUGUCAAAGUAAACUGACCAAACAUCAUCGAAAGUCAAUUAUGUCCUGUGCCUCCUGAUUGCUGAGUGUUCACCUGGACCUUCUGACCACCUUCCUUCUGCUGGUCCAUCAGCCUACACAUCUGAUACUUGGAUUUUUGCUCAUGGUGAUUUCUGCCAACUUACUACUGAAGAAGACACCAUUCCAGUGGACCACUGUGAGCCAAGAGGCGUUCAACCAUGAUGAUGUGGCCUUGACCUCCACUCCAAUUCUGGUCUGCCCAGAUUCAGCACAGCCCUUUAUUGUGCAGAGUCCUCAAGCCAAAUAGCUAGAGCUAUUUUAUUACAACAAAGGCCCAAUUUAUUCCAUAAGUGUGCAUUUCAUUUCUUCAGUUGAAGUCUUCAGAGACAUGUAAUAAACUUGGACCAGGGAUUUUUAAUUAUCAACGCUGUCCAAAGAAAGACAACAAACAUCUCUCUGAGAACAGCAUUGGACCAUACCCUACAAUCUCAAAUGAUUAAAGUUCAUGAACUGUCUAGGAUCCCAUGAAGGUCCCUGGACCAUGUUCUUUUUCUACUUAAAAUCUGUAGUAGCCUACUGAAUGAGACUCAUUGGGAUCAAAACCAAGGCACAGUAAAUUCCUCAUGGCAUCUUUGGGAUUACUCAGGAACCAGAACUUUUCACACAAAUGUAAGCAAUUCUGCCAAGGAAUCCCUUUACCUAACAGCAUCUCGCAAGGCUCCAGUCAGAUUCCAGAAAAGGCCUCUUAAUAACUUCAAGAUAAAAGCUAUAUGGUAAUUCCCUCUGUUUAUAUAGCACUUUACAGUUUCAAAGCACUUUUCUUAUGUUUAUCUCAUUUAUCAAAAUACAGUAACAUUCCUUUUUGAAAUGAGGGAACAAAAAUUUAAGUGACUUACUUAUCCAAGGUAACAUAGCUACAAAGUGGGAGAGGCUAGGCCUUUUGACUCCUGGUCCAGUAUUUUCCUUGGCAUUAACUUAGCCUUUAUCCACAGUGUUAAAAUGAAAUUGGAAACUCCAAAAGAUUCCAACUUCUUUGUUUGGUGCCCCUAUUAGGCAGGAUAUUGUAAAUAUAAUUCAUAUAAUCCAUGGCAACAUCCCUAUGGUGUGAGAGCAAAGGGUCUUCAUGAUGAUAAAUUGUCCAAAGUGGCAGGUAUUCAUCAGACAAUAAGGAUACCUAAUAUGAAACACAAGCUGCUUUUAGAUCUUUUGUCUAUUUUCAUGGUUUGCCCAAGAAAGACCUAACAGACAUUUUUCUUAAAAAAUUAAGACUCACAAAUACUGAGAUUACCUGUAAUCCUCUGCCCCCAAACUAAUAUUUACACAAAAUGAGCCAUUUUUUUUAAUGUAUAGCUGUCAUAUGUGGAGAGUUUCUGUUAUCCCAUAAGGUGGUAAAAUACUGUAAGAUGUGUCCCUUCUCACUAGCCCACAAUGCAUUGUUAUAUAUUAAAGGUUUCCAAAAGACUUGCAGCAAAGACCUCUUUAUCUUAGCCUGUUGUGUCCUAAUGUAAAGACAAUGUAAUUUUUGGUAACAUUCCUUUUAAUAGAAUGGGAAGCUAGAAUGAUAUAACUAGGGUUUCCUGAUUAUCAACAUAUUGGCCUGGAAACCCCAUAAUACAGUGUCUUUGAAACCUGCCUUUUUCAUACCUUGACCUUAACUGCUUGAACUCAUUCAUCCCUAUCAUCUGAGAGUCCUGCAUCUUGAUUAUUACUUUAAGUUUUUUUUAAAUCAAAGGAGCUUCUAGAAUAAAUACGGAACUAUAUGGGGAGGAUAAUGGGAGAAUGUUAAUUCUGCCCCCUCCCCAAAGGGUGAGUUCCAUAACAUUUAGCAGUAUAUUUCUUAGAAUUGCGCUAUAAAACGUUUUUUUAAGGCAUUGCAUCUUAGGUGGGUAAGGACAUUGGGAAGGGAAGUAGAAGGGAAGGAUAAAGAGGAAAUACUUUCUUUAGAAUUUGAGUUAUGGUCCAUUGAGAUCUUACUGCUUAAGAGAAGUCACCUAGCCAUGGACUUCUUGAAAUAAUGUUUACAAAGAAAUGAUACGUUUUUUUUGCAACUAUAUGCAAAAGCCUUAGAGCUAUUGCAACUUAAAACCAAUAGUCUUGUCCUCUGGCAUUCUUAUUUAUAAACUCAACUUCAAGCAAUUGAAAUUUAUACUAGACUUGAGUUUUAGCUCCAUUACCCUGUAAUAUAGUCUACCUUAGGGAAAGAAUGAAUAGAAAAACACCUUAUUUUACCACAGGCUUUGCUCACCCAAUUUCUGGUUUCUGUGACCUAUUUUUUCUAUUUCAGCAUUUUGUGAACACCUUAUUCUUAGAUUAUUUGUUUUCCAAAGGCUUUGUGGCCAUGAAGCCAUUUGAAUGAAAGCUAUGUGGAAGCCCAGAGUAAAAGUGAAGCUGCUCUGGAUGAAGUGAAGCAAGAGUGGGGGUCUGCAGCCUGCCACAAGCAUCUUCCUUUACCACCAUGCUGACACCUAAAGGGACUUCUUUACAACAUGUAGAACUGCUGAACAGUUUGAAAACCACUGCCCUAUACAACAUGUUUGAUCUGAAUGGCUCUCUGAUCUUUUCUGUAUCUCCACUUAUUAUAGUCCAUAAUCAGUUGAUGCUGAACAUUCUUAGGAAUAUUUACUGUGUACAGACUUUAAAAAGUAUAUAAUGGGCAUGCCUUUGGCCCCCAAAAUGUUCAUAUGGACUGAAAGUGGUGGCAAAUGAACCUUUCUCACUAGCCCUGUAAUCCAGAUGAACUUACAGUGAUUCCUGGAAUUGGAUAUAGUCAGUAAUUCAUAUGCACUCUACACUAACAAACCCUACUAAGCAGCAUCCACAAAUAUGAAAUACACUCGUGGUACUUGAAGUACAUGACUGAAGUCUUGAACUCUUUUUGGAUACGUGAAUUGCCUGCAAGCUGGAAACUGAUGCCUCACUGUGGCCAUCGUAGACCAACUUCUACAUUAGACCUUUCAUCAUUAGCCAUGGUACUCUAUUUCGUGUCAAGAAACAGUCAUUAACUACAAAAGCAGAAUUUAGAUGCUAACAUUUUCUAAAGGGACAAAGUACCUGGUUGUCAUUCUUCAUCUUAAACUGCAAAUCACUAUGUGACUCAGCCUGGUUAACACUAGGUUACGUUCCUCCUUGGCUUUUAUUCAUUUUUCUGUUUUGAGGAUCAAUGACUUAACCUUUAAAAAUAAAAACCCAAAACAAUUUCUUCAUUGGCUUAUCUACUGAUUCUCUGUAAAUACUGACUACUCAUCUUUACGUGUAACAGCUGAUCUUAAAGACAGUUUUUGAGCAUCCUUUCUCAUAUGUGUGACAUCAAAUAGAGUCAUUGGGAAAAAUUUCUUCUAGCCAGUAAAAGAUACUCUUCUAAGAUGACUUGAUACCUGAUACCAUCAUAUGGUAGGGAUAGUUGGACCCAGGCCCUUUGACCAAGAUAUGGUGACCUGAUGGUGACUUCAAAUGUAUUGUCUAUAUUUUGCUGCAAAUGUAGACUAACAAAAAAAAACAAAAAACUAAAGAUGGCAGCUAAGGAUUUCACCAAUAGACUGAAGAGCUGUCCUUGUAGAUGUUUGAAUGGAAUGACAUCUGUCUCAGGACUGUCAUUUACAUUGAUUCAGUGUGAUUGGCUUCAUUUCUUGCUAUGAGAUACUCUUAGGCAUUAAGACAAUUUGUUUCUGUAGGAAGACUUUAAUUCCUGAUUUAUAGACAGGAAUAUUCCAGGGCUAUGCCAAUUUAUAUCCUAAGAAAAUCUCAUUCCUUUACUUCAUAGUUAAUUGAAGGGCCAGUCAUCUUCAGCUGCUCUUAUGAAUGCACUGGUUAAAUGUUGGAAAUGGUUUCUUCAUAUCCUUUCCCUUGUUCUCUAAUCUGAUCACAUGACUUGGUCUACAUACCAUCAAACAAGGCUUAGGUCCAGUUGCUCUUGACUGCUCAACCUCAGCAAAUUACUAUCUGGAUGACUGUUUUGCUUGGAUAUACAACUAUAAUGCAUAAAGAAGAAAUUAUCUGCAAGCUCACAUUUCUACUUACAAUUGUCAGAUUUUUUUUUUCUCUCUGCUUUUUCCUGUGUGUACCUUGCAGAAAAAAGAUGUUGACCUACACUGCCAGUCAUUCCUUCUGAUCUUCCUAUACUCAGUUAAGAUGAGAGUAAUCAUCUGUUCAAGAGUCUUAUGUACACUUAAAAAAAAAAAUUGGUGAUUGGAAAAAGCCUAAAACUUAAAGCUAGGAGACUGCCUACUGUCUCCAUGCCUCAGAUUUUAUCCAAGUCUUUCAGUGUGCCAUUCAGCCAAUCUGAAACUAUGACUUGGCUAUAAGAAUUCUCAGAGAUGUGCUAAGUUACAGAAGAUGAAGAUUUGAUAACCAAAGAAAGUAGGGCCAACUUCAACAAACCUGACUCUACCACCCUUUUACUCCCAGAUAUAGGAUAGACUGCUAAACAGAACCUCAAGUCUGGACUAAGGAUAUGGCUUUCUCCUGAGAUGGUAGUUCUUGGGCAGAUGAGCAGGGAAAAAAAGCCGCUAUAUCUGACUUGCCCUUUGAAAUCAGAAAAUUAUAUCUGGCAUAAGCCCUGUGAAGUAACUGAAGUACCCAGGGCAAAAACUAAUUUCUGGAUUCAUUUAUUAAUCUGCCUGUUCUUCCAGGUGAUAUCCUGGUUAUUGGUUUGACUGGCCCUGCUGAAGUUACUCUGUCAGUUUACCUGUUUCAGCUAUUAACUGCCUUGUUGGACUUGCUGCAAUCAACUGUUGACCUUGAGAAGACUACAACCAGUUUCAGCUUAACUUGUGCCGAAUUCCACCAAGGAUUUCUAAAUAGAAAUUAGCUUGUACCUCACAAGACUUAAUGUUCACAACAGAAAGUACCAGUUUCACACACCUUGACUAACAGCUUUUUUAUUUUUUUUAAAUGGAGAGUAAGACACUAUGUUUGCUCAUGUAAAGCACCUGGGAUCUCUGCACAUCUGCAAAGAGUACAACAGAUUGAAAAUAGAGUCCAUUUCUCUCUUCUGCAGUAACACACAAUGAGUCUUGAUUUAUCAGUACUAACAGAAAUGUUUUGUUUCAACUUUUGCAAGACUUAAAGGGAUAUUAGAAAAGUUUUUCACUGAACUUAAAUUACCACUGACGCAAAUAGCCUCACCGAACUGUGUUUGCCAGUGGGAGGCUAGUGGUCCUGCUGCUUGUCACCCAAGAUGGUGGGGCUCUGGAAAAAACCUAAAACUUGAGUUUGCAUGCAUUGAAAUUCUAUAGUAUCAUCCAAAGUAUCCUACUGGAUAUGAUUAUUCCACUCAAAUGGACUAUAGGCUUCCUAAAGACAAGACAAAUUUACACUCAUGGCUAUUUUUAGAAUAAUUCCAUUACUGAGGAGCCAGCUGUAACUACAUUCACCUUUAUGAGCAGAAGUUAAAUCUUUUUCAACCUCUGGUUUAUUCUGGACAUAAAUUGUUUUUGAUUGCCCAGCAUCCAUUCCAUUUCAUUUUAACAACUCCCUGAUAUUUCCUGGAACCAUCACUUCCUAUUUUCAGUUGAUGUGGUUUGGACAGUCUGACCCAACCUUGGGCUCUGUGAGUAGACGUAUAUCACUCAGACCUCAUCAGUCAGCAGAGGCCAUCUCCUUAACCAUACCAAUUCUUUCUAGAGUAUUCAUAUGAUUUACAAGUUGGUCCAGUGAUAACUCAUUUCUCUGAAUUUUACUGAGUAAUGGAGGAGAACAAAUUCUCUUUACUGAGGUGCUUUAGUUUGUAGGAUUAAAAAUUCAAACCAACAGGGUCUACCACAUUGAAUGAGCCAGUCAGAGAAUGAAGCCAGUGCAAAGGAAAGCAGAGCCAAAAGAUGGAAAGACUCGAGUCCUGAUGACAGCAUUUUUGCUCCUGGAUCCAGCUGUGCCUGAAGCUAGUAUAUCCCUUGGACUUUUCAGUUAUGUGAAACAAUAAAUACACUUUUUGUUUAAGUUA
Molecule: long non-coding RNA, 7913 nt
Organism: Chinchilla lanigera (long-tailed chinchilla)
Lineage: Eukaryota; Metazoa; Chordata; Mammalia; Rodentia; Chinchillidae
Exons: 2
Source: RefSeq, a predicted model, not a curated record